Molecule: ribosomal RNA, 440 nt
Filed under: uncultured bacterium
Lineage: Bacteria
Description: bacterial SSU rRNA
Rfam family: Bacterial small subunit ribosomal RNA
Source: RNAcentral
CCUACGGGGUGCACCAGUGGGGAAUAUUGCACAAUGGGGGAAACCCUGAUGCAGCAACGCCGCGUGAGUGAUGACGGCCUUCGGGUUGUAAAGCUCUGUCUUCAGGGACGAUAAUGACGGUACCUGAGGAGGAAGCCACGGCUAACUACGUGCCAGCAGCCGCGGUAAUACGUAGGUGGCGAGCGUUGUCCGGAUUUACUGGGCGUAAAGGGAGCGUAGGUGGACUUUUAAGUGAGAUGUGAAAUACCCGGGCUCAACUUGGGUGCUGCAUUUCAAACUGGAAGUCUAGAGUGCAGGAGAGGAGAAUGGAAUUCCUAGUGUAGCGGUGAAAUGCGUAGAGAUUAGGAAGAACACCAGUGGCGAAGGCCAGUCUCUGGACUGUAACUGACGCUGAGGCUCGAAAGCGUGGGGAGCAAACAGGAUUAGAUACCCUUGUAGUC